AGCCCCCUCUGGAUUGAUCUAGGUGUCAGUAACGCACAGGUUUUCCAGCUCUAAGCAGAGAGGAGAGUACACAGAAGAAGGACAGAGUGACUGUGUGACUGGGUGUGUGUGUGUGAGUGAGAGAGUGUGUGGGAGGUCGUGCAGCAUGCAGCAGUAGAGAGGAUACACACACUCGCCAUGGCGUGUCCCCCGCCCCCUCCCCCUGUUUAAGAAGAGCUACGUCCUCCCUCUAACUCACCACUGGGGGCUUCAGAGUGGAGCCCCACACACCACAUCACACCACACCACACACACCGGCCCACUACAAUCCCAGGUGUGUGUGUGCGAGUUGGGUUCUCGCCCCCUUCCUGAGGGAAGAUGUCUGUGGUGAUGCCCCUGGAUGGGGUGAGGGAGGGGGAGAGUGUGCUGGUUACUGAGACCCCAGCCGGCACGCGCUGCAAAGGAAACACCAAUUUACCUGGCAAAGACAACUGCACUGACAACAACAACACAGAGCCUGACGACAACCUCUCACAAGACACACAGAAACGCUGUCAGAACCAUGGCCAUACCAGGAAAAGAGCCAAGUCCAAUGCCAAGCUGAAGCUGGUGCGGAGUCUAGCAGUAUGUGAAGAGUCAUCGGGUCCAUUCUCAACUGAUGGACCUCCAGAGACGCAGGACAUCAUUCAGCUACACAUCAGCUGUCCUUCAGACAAAGAAGAGGAGAAAUCCUCGAAAGAUGAGUACGAGAGUGAGGAGAGGGAGAAGAAGGACAAGACUCCUCGCAAGAUGCUCUCGCGGGACUCCAGUCAGGAGUACACAGACUCCACGGGCAUCGAUGUGCACGAGUUCUUGGUGAACACACUGAAAAACAACCCCAGGGACAGAAUGAUGCUACUGAAGCUGGAACAAGAUAUACUGGAGUUCAUCAAUGAUGACAAUAAUCAGUAUAAGAAGUUCCCUCAGAUGACCUCUUACCAUCGCAUGCUACUGCAUCGGGUGGCAGCAUAUUUUGGAAUGGACCACAACGUGGACCAAACUGGCAAAGCAGUCAUCAUCAACAAAACGAGCAACACGCGCAUCCCUGAACAGAGGUUUUCUGAGCACAUUAAGGACGAAAGGAACAUGGAUUUCCAAAAGAAAUUCAUUCUCAAGAGGGAUGAUGCAAGCAUGGACAAAGACGAUAACCAGAUCCGGGUUCCACUCCAGGAUGGUCGACGCAGUAAGUCCAUUGAGGAGAGGGAGGAGGAGUAUCAGCGUGUUCGAGAUAGAAUCUUUGCUCGGGAAUCCUCUCAAAACGGAUACAUCAAUGACAACAGGGGUAAUAAGGAGAGUUCGAGCAGAGCGUCCAGCAGCCGGCAGAGCAGCACAGACAGCGAUAUGAAGAGUCUGGAGCCACGGCCGUGGAGCAGCACAGACUCGGACAGUUCCAACCGCACACUGCGGCCACCCGUCACCAAGGCCAGCAGCUUCAGUGGCAUCUCUAUCCUCACACGCGGCGACAGCCUGGGCAGCAAGGGCUCGCAGGGUAGCGCCAGGGGGUCACGCACAGGUCUCCCUCUCAUCACCACAGAGACAUGCCCCCAGCCCCAGCCCCCCCAGCAGGGACGCAGCCUCUUGCCCUGUCCUUCCAACUGCCCCUCUAAUGCCCCUCCACCCCAGAACCAGGCGCCCCCACCACCCCCACAAACUUGUCUGUUCCAGGGAGAUGAGUUGACCCCAGGCUUCGGGCAGAUGUCUCUGAGCCGCCAGGGCUCCAGCGAGGCUCCAGAGCCACCCACCCUCUACCAGCCUCCUCCUGCCGUCCUGUCCCAGCACCCCCCACCACAGCCAAGUUACAUCAUGCCCCCACCGCCCUCUGGGUACCAACCGCCCACACCUCACCCACACCCUCCUCCACCCCCUCCGCCUCCUACCCAGCCUGUACUGCAGACAGCACCGCCUAUCCAGGUGCAGUAUUACUCAGCUGGUGGGCAGUAUCCGAGUUCAGGACAGCAGUACAGGUCCAUAUCCCACCAAGUGUCAUACCCUGCUCAACGCUCUCAGACCCUCCCCCCACCAACUCAGCAGCCAACGUAUCAGAGCAUGAUGGGAGUUCAGCAGCCGCAGAGUGCCAGUAUAAUGAGCUCACAGCGCACAGGCAUGAGCGGACAGAUGCAAGGCAUGAUGGUCCAGUACACACCCAUGCCCUCCUAUCAGGUGGCCGUAGCUAAUGAAACCCAGCCUGUGGUGCAGCAGCAGUACCAGCAGCCUGUCAUGGUGCCUGUUAGCCAGUCUGUCCAGGGUGCCAUGCCAACCCCUGCACCCAUGCCAGUCUACUACAGUGUCUUGACCCCCACACAACAGAACAGCACAAGUCCAUCUGUGGGCUACCUGCAGCCUCCCAGUUCAGAUCAGUACCAGAUGACCCAGUCUCCGUCCCCCUGCAGCCCUCAGCAGAUACAGCAGCAGUAUUCAGGAGUGCCGCCCCCUGGUCCAGGUGUCAUGGUGAUGCAGCUGAGUGUUCCAAAUGGGCCACAGUCUACUCAGAAUCCUCCUAUGGUGCAGUGGAAUCCCUGCAAGUAUUAUAGCGUGGAGCAGAGACCCAGCAAGCCUGAACUACAUUUCCCAGAAGUCAGCACUCAGUUAAGUAGUCCUUUGGCAUCUCCUACUCAGUCUCCCACUCCGUCUCCAUCCAGCAGCGGGAACAGUGUGUGCCCUGGACUCGGCCCACUUCCACUCAUUUCUCAGUUUCCUCGGCCUGGAGGACCCGCACAAGGUGACUAUUAUGGUGCAACCUGCCAUCAGAUCACAUUGCACCCAAUUGCAUUUUACUGUACAGACAUAAACACACACACACACACACACACUGGUUCCCCUACUGCCCUACUGAUCCGUGUGUUGGAGGUGACGGAUCUACCCGAGGGCAUCUCUCGUCUAGAUGCCGAGAAGCUCUUCAACCAGCUCUCACUCUGCGGUGCCAAAAUCCAGUGGCUGAAGGACCCCCAGGUGCCCCGGGGGCCCACAACGGCCCCGGGACCCGGGGGAGGAUGCGGAAUGGGCAAAAACGAUGCACAUGACCCAGCCCACCUCUACACAGUGGUGGCCGUGUUCCCAAACACCAUGGCUGCCCAGAGCGCGUCCUUCAAGCUGAACAACAGUGGAGGAAGCCUGUUCAAACUGCGCGCCGCCAAAAAGAACUAUGACCUGCGCGUGCUGGAGCGAGCCAGCUCCCAGUGA
This 3198-nucleotide long non-coding RNA is filed under the name Astyanax mexicanus (Mexican tetra). RNAcentral describes it as "lncRNA (ENSAMXG00005019054.1)". The record is from RNAcentral. Lineage: Eukaryota; Metazoa; Chordata; Actinopteri; Characiformes; Acestrorhamphidae.